This 449-nucleotide long non-coding RNA is filed under the name Olea europaea subsp. europaea. The record is from RNAcentral. Lineage: Eukaryota; Viridiplantae; Streptophyta; Magnoliopsida; Lamiales; Oleaceae.
ACACAGAAUACCACAGAAGGAUAAUGGCUAACUUGAAGUUCUCAAUAAUCCUUAUGUUCAUUUUACUAGUUUCAGCGGCAGUGAUAGGAGCUCGUCCCGUCCGAGUCCGACCGAUAAGUGUAGCCCGAGAAGCACUGGAGGCUCAAAUGGAAAGACAGAAAAUGAUGUAUCAAACUAAUCAAGAACGGCCUGAACGGGUUAGUCCCGGAGGACCCGAUCCUCAUCACCACUUUGAACACUUCAAAUUUCAAAACUCAAGCAUCAAGGGUUGAUAUUAGGGCUAGAGUUGAAAGUCUUGUGGAAUUAAUCAAUGUAUUUUACUUGUAAUGGUGUAAAACUUUCAACUGAGAAUGGUUCGAGGUUAUGUUAUGUUGUUGAAGACUUGAAUUUUCUACCGUUUUUGAGACAUGGAAGUGCAACAAAGAAUAAAAUCUAAUACCGAGGCCAUA